CCUUCCGUAGGGUGAACCUGCGGAAGGAUCAUUACCGAGUGAGGGCCCUCUGGGUCCAACCUCCCACCCGUGUUUAUUUUACCUUGUUGCUUCGGCGGGCCCGCCUUAACUGGCCGCCGGGGGGCUUACGCCCCCGGGCCCGCGCCCGCCGAAGACACCCUCGAACUCUGUCUGAAGAUUGAAGUCUGAGUGAAAAUAUAAAUUAUUUAAAACUUUCAACAACGGAUCUCUUGGUUCCGGCAUCGAUGAAGAACGCAGCGAAAUGCGAUACGUAAUGUGAAUUGCAAAUUCAGUGAAUCAUCGAGUCUUUGAACGCACAUUGCGCCCCCUGGUAUUCCGGGGGGCAUGCCUGUCCGAGCGUCAUUGCUGCCCUCAAGCCCGGCUUGUGUGUUGGGCCCCGUCCCCCGAUCUCCGGGGGACGGGCCCGAAAGGCAGCGGCGGCACCGCGUCCGGUCCUCGAGCGUAUGGGGCUUUGUCACCCGCUCUGUAGGCCCGGCCGGCGCUUGCCGAUCAACCCAAAUUUUUAUCCAGGUGACCUCGGAUCAGGUUGG
This 551-nucleotide ribosomal RNA is filed under the name Penicillium commune. RNAcentral describes it as "eukaryotic LSU rRNA". The stretch from base 211 to 363 matches the Rfam family "5.8S ribosomal RNA". Lineage: Eukaryota; Fungi; Ascomycota; Eurotiomycetes; Eurotiales; Aspergillaceae. The record is from RNAcentral.